AACGAACGCUGGCGGCAGGCCUAACACAUGCAAGUCGAGCGAGAAUCGUAGCAAUACGAGGACAGCGGCGAAAGGGAGAGGAACACGUGGAUACGUACCCUCGGGUUCAGGAUAGCCAUGGGAAACUAUGGGUAAUACUGAAUAACAUCUCCGGAUCAAAGGUGUGAUUCCGCCCGGGGAGCGGUCCGCGUCCUAUUAGCUUGUUGGUGAGGUAACGGCUCACCAAGGCAAAGAUGGGUAUGGGGUGUGAGAGCAUGCCCCCACUCACUGGGACUGUGACACUGCCCAGACACCUACGGGUGGCUGCAGUCGAGAAUCUUCGGCAAUGGGGGAAACCCUGACCGAGCGACGCCGCGUGCGGGAUGAAGGCCUUCGGGUUGUAAACCGCUGUCAGAGGGGAGGAAAUGCCGGUGGGUUCUCCCAUCGGUUUGACCUAGCCUCAGAGGAAGGACGGGCUAAGUUCGUGCCAGCCGCCGCGGUAA
RNAcentral lists this ribosomal RNA (482 nucleotides) under uncultured bacterium. RNAcentral's name for it is "partial 16S ribosomal RNA". It matches the Rfam family "Bacterial small subunit ribosomal RNA", at positions 29 to 523 of the family's 1533-position model. The record is from RNAcentral.